CUGUGACAUAACCAGAAUCCCUCUUCCCACUCACAGAAGAUCCUGAAGAUAAACAUGAUAGAAACUACAUCAGGACUGUGGCACAGAAAAGGGUUCAGAACUGAAACUUCAUCAGACAUCUCAGAUUAUUCCCUAAGCUAGCAUGGCAUUGCAUUGUGCUUCCAAACCCUGAUGUUUUCAUGCUUAGAGAUGGGAGUAUCACACCAACAUUGGCCCAAGAAGAAAACAGGCUUACAAGACUGUGGUCUCUGCUCUCCAAGAGGUCCCCAAACUCUCCAAGCUGAACCACGGCAGAGUGACAGGCCAAGGACUGUAUGAGAUGCCUUUUCCACUGUCUCCUGGGAAAGUGAACUUUUCAGAGCACUGGCAGAGACACCAGCAGACACCGUAUCUGUUCUGGACUGCAAACAGAGGAGGAACUGGCUGCUUCACUCUCACUGAACAGCUGUCACAAGUCAAAACAAACCUGCUUGUGGUCUGAGUCAAA
Molecule: long non-coding RNA, 487 nt
Organism: Passer domesticus (house sparrow)
Lineage: Eukaryota; Metazoa; Chordata; Aves; Passeriformes; Passeridae
Exons: 3
Source: RefSeq, a predicted model, not a curated record